UACCAUCUGGAUACAAAUCGGAUAUAUGGUCAUUAGGUUGCUGCAUGUUUGAAAUAGCUGCACAUCAACCUGCAUUUAGAGCUCCUGAUUUGGCAGGACUUGUUAACAAAAUAAACCGAUCAUACAUGUCACCACUUCCAAUUGUGUACUCUUCUGCAUUGAAACAAUUAAUCAAGAGCAUGUUAAGAAAGAACCCAGACAACUGACCAACAGUGAGUUCAAAUGACCAAACUCUGUCAUAUCUUUCUGAAAGCAAUGAUUUGUUGUCCUGAAACUUUCGCCACAUUUUAGGCUGCAGAGCUGU
Alnus glutinosa is the source of this 304-nucleotide long non-coding RNA. RefSeq lists it as uncharacterized. The transcript has 4 exons. NCBI's taxonomy places the organism in Eukaryota, Viridiplantae, Streptophyta, Magnoliopsida, Fagales, Betulaceae. The record is from RefSeq and is a predicted model, not a curated record.